UUCCAGCAGGGAUCGUCUCCCCGCCCGCUGGAGUUUGGGUCGGGCCUCCCGGCUGACAGGCAGAAAAUUCUACCCAUAGGAACAAGUGAAGCUGCAAAUUAAUUUAAACAUGGGAAUAAUCAUUUUAAAUCUGAUUCAUUGGUGGACCAUAGGCAAAUGUAGGCGAACAGCGUCAUGGGUGAAAUAUGCAAGGGACUUGGUGUGGGUUUGGGCUGUAGAUUUUCAAAUAAGUUGAAGUUUGUACAAUGUGGAGAAUGAGAUCCUGGCUGGGGGAGUAUUGGAAUAGUUGAAUCUGGAAAUGGCAAAGCCAAUAGAAGCUUUUAAUUCUAAUACUAAACACUUCGAUUUGCAAGGCAUAGGAAAUAAGAUUUUUUAACUCUUUCCUUGUCAAAUACCAGACAAGCACUAUAAAAAUGUUUUAAAAUUACAGACAUUAAUAUUGAAUUGAAAGGACACAGUCCAUAGAAAAUUUCAGUACCACAGAAAAAACUACCUAUGUUUGAUUGAUCAAUAAUAAUCCUCUGACAAAUUCAUACUCAAUUACAUUUCCUAUGGAAUAUGCGGCUUUUAGAUAGUGUAAGCUCCAGAAACCAUUGCAUCUCACAGAAAAUGCGUGAAGCAACAAUACUGCAACAAAUAGAAGAUAUCUACUACCCCAUCCUUGCAGUCGUCGGCGUUCUUGACUAUUGCUGACUUCAUCUCAUCUGGAGAUCUUCCCACUAUGGCCCACAGGCUUAUAGCCCCAUCCCCACAGGAAUGGUUUACCUUCCCAGGAACAUAAACAGCACAUGAACUGCAGCGAUUCAAGAAGGCAGCUCAUCAUCAGUGUCGCAAGGAUGAUUCAGAAUGGGCAACAAUUGCUGGCCUUGCCAGGGCUACUGAC
Long non-coding RNA from Carcharodon carcharias (great white shark), 883 nucleotides. RefSeq lists it as uncharacterized. The transcript has 4 exons. NCBI's taxonomy places the organism in Eukaryota, Metazoa, Chordata, Chondrichthyes, Lamniformes, Lamnidae. The record is from RefSeq and is a predicted model, not a curated record.